CGGGUUUUAAAUUAUCGAACCACAGGGAAUUGGAAUGUGAAUUCAGUUUAAGAGUCAAGUUCAAGGUUAAAAAGCGAGUAAAAUUCAGUUUUAAAGGUUGAUUGAUUGUUGUGAUACUUAAUUAGAAAGCUAGCAAAGAUAAGUGUGUGAUAAUCAAUGGUGAGAAUGCCUUGGGUUCUUGCUUGACUAAUUCAGUUCUAAUCAACCUAUUC
RNAcentral lists this long non-coding RNA (212 nucleotides) under Lotus japonicus. Its description in RNAcentral is "long non-coding RNA (LJAP_LNC000541)". Lineage: Eukaryota; Viridiplantae; Streptophyta; Magnoliopsida; Fabales; Fabaceae. The record is from RNAcentral.